RNAcentral lists this long non-coding RNA (3629 nucleotides) under Sus scrofa (pig). RNAcentral's name for it is "lncRNA (ENSSSCG00065076109.1)". Lineage: Eukaryota; Metazoa; Chordata; Mammalia; Artiodactyla; Suidae. The record is from RNAcentral.
UUCCCAUGGACCACACAGCUGACCACCUGCUACCCUGGUGAUCUUAACACUUGCUUCUCUCUCCUGCUCCCUCGUUUCAAGCACGCCGACCUCAGGUGUUGCUUCUAACCUGCCAGGUAUCUUCCCACCUUGAGACCAUUGCAUGGGCUUCGUUUCCUGCCUGGGACUCCCUUCCUUUAGGUUUUUGUUCUGUUUUGUCUGGGGGGGAACAAUGCGCCAAUCAGUAGGUAAUGAGUUGCUCAAGAAAAGAGUUGACUGGGGCCAGAGAGGAGAAGAACCUUUCAGAAGCGCAUGUUUUGGGUAACAUAAUUUCAUUCAGCCACAAGCCUCACAUUGACCAGGCGAUACGGUAAAUGCCAUCCCCUUGGCAUUAGAGACCAGGCAAUACGGUAAACUCCCUCCCCUUGGUAAAGAGGAGUUGCUUUAGUGAAAGUCAAAGUGCGGGGAAUUGAACACACAAGGAGCUGGCUGCUCUCUUGCUUUUGUUUCUCUUCCCCUUAAAUUCUUAGCAAACCAGCUUUCAUUCGAACGACGUUUCCAUCCCUCGCCAAUGGUCGGGGAGAAGUUCUGGAUCUUUCCCUGCCUUCUCUGCCCACCAGACCAGAGCAUCAAGCCUGGAAAAGAAUGGAGGGGGUGCUGGGGGCGGGGAGGAGGAGGGAGGAAGGAGGUUGCAAUUAAAAAAGGAGAGAGAAAGAGCCUCGAAGGAAACUGUGGGUCAGACCAGCUUCAGAAGUCAGCAGGACCACUUCCCGCAGCGCCCCCUCCCGCUGCAGCUAUCACACACGGAGAACAAUAUUCAGUAGUCAUUUUGAUCCGUGGCCAAGGCUUCAAAACGUGUCUUUGAAACACCAGGCAGCAUCUGGAGCAAAAGACAUCCAGCCCCCGAAGGCCCCCCAGGCUGAAGGAACUCGGCCCUGGAGUCGAACGGCCUAACCUGCCAUGUCACAGCGUUGCUUGCUUCUCCAGGGUGAGCCUCCAACGCAGCAUCGGGCCUCCGAUUCUGCAGGACCCCGCGUCUGUGUGGGCAGCCUCUGCCCUGCAGAGGAGAAGACGGUCUGUGCAUUUCUGCUUUGGGCUUCUGGGUUUAAUUACGGGAAUACGAGGUGUCAGGUACAAAUUCAAGGACUGCUUAGCACACCUGCGGCCUCCUCGCGUCCUCUCCCCACCUCGCCGCCGCCGCCCCCCUCACCUCCUGCCAAAGGCAGAGCUCCUAGGGCCCCUGAUGUCAAUGAGGCAGGCAGCCCAGGGCACCGAGGGAGCCCCAUGGAGCCAAGAGCAGCCUGUGUUCUUGGUCUGGGAUUUCUAUGAUGAGACCUGGUUCUCAGGAUCAAGAACAAAGGCCCAGACUCCAGCCGUCAUAUCUGAUCUCGAGGUAUCAGGCUGGAAGAUGAGAAAAAAAGCAAAAAAAGCAAAGGUCACUUGUCAGCGAUUGCCAAGAUCCCUUCACUCCCGGCCAUGUGGCAUCCUUAACCCACUGAUCAAGACCAGGGAUAGAACUCAAAUCUUCGUGGAUCCUAGUCGGGUUCUUCCCUCACUGAGCCUCGACAGGAACGCCUGAAGUUUUCUUAACUAAGAAUGAGAGAGAAGAGAAACUGAGUUCUCUGCCAGGAUUGAUCAUCUUGAGUGGCCAACCAAAGUUCUUUAUUUGACCAAAAUAAGAGUGGGAACAUCUGUUGUGCACCAAACACAUUCACAUGGCUCCUCGAGGGAGGAAAACAAAGUUUUAACACUUUGCCACCUCCCGGCAAAGUUGAGAGUCUAUGGCCCUCUGUGUCUGCCUCCCGGCAAAGUUCAGAGUCUGUGGCCCUCUGUGUCUGCCUCCCGGCAAAGUUGAGAGUCUAUGGCCCUCUGUGUCUGCCUCCAGGUGCUGUUUCUUAUAACCUUGCAGUUUGAGGCAAAAGAAAGUUAUGCAGAGGGUGACUUACCCGAUAUCAAGACCUGUUAUAAUUCUAGCACGGGGACAGACAGACAGAUCAAUGGGGCCAAAGAUAGCGCCUAAAAGAGACCUCAGCGUUUAUGAGACUUUGUGAUAUGGUCCAGGAGAUAUGAUAAUUAAAUGGGGGAAAAGCUGGACUAAUCAAUAAGUGUUUUAGAGAUAUAUCUCUCUCUGCCUCAGAGUGUGCACAAAAAUCAGCUCACGUGGCAUCAAAACUCUCAAUGUCGAAAACGGAAAACAGCUCCACAACGGGAGAAUAUCUUUAUGACACUGGAGGUCAGACAGGCUUUCCCUUUUUUAUUAUGAAAAUUCAUCUUUCAUUUAUGGCGAGAAUGAUUGCAGUAGGUGACAGGUUUAGCUAUGAAAAAUAUUAACUAUGGGUAUUUUCGAGCAUAUACAAAAGGAGAGGGAAGUGCCUCAUGAACACCACAUAUGGCCCCUAAACUUCAGUCUUCUAAAGACUUUGUUCUGUUUUUGUACCCUCUCUUCCUCCCUCCUUGCUUGUUUUUUUUCCCUCCUGUUUGCUGGAGAAUUUAAAACUAAAUCUCAGACAAUGCACGUUUCACCUUUAACAUGCUCCUACCAGAAAAGGACUUCAAAAACAAACUAACUAACUAACUAACUACAGUACCACCCCAUGAAAUGAAUGCCUCAUUAGCAUCUAAAACUCUGUAUGUGUUGAUGUUUCACCAAAUGUCCUUUGAUAGUUUGUUCAGAUCAGAAUAUAAAAAAAAAGUCCCUCAAGAAUCCCCGGAUGAUGCGCUGUUAACUCGACACAGCUGCCCUUUCACACCUCUUCCCCCACUCCCACCCCCCACCGACCCCCCCUCUUAUCUGUUUUGGUGAAGAAAAGGAGGACCCUCGUUCUGCAGAAUGUUGCAUCUUCCGAUUUGGCUGACAGCUUCCUGUCUCCCCUUCUUUCUUAUAAACAGACGGUUUGGGCUGGAAGUUUGAUGAGAUUCAGUUUGGGGUUUUGUUGGGGGUGGGGGGUGUCUGGGUGCGUUUUGCACAACGUUUUGAAAGACAGUUCGCAGGCUGUGUGCUCCUCCCUGCAUCCUGGUGGCUUUUUCCAUUAGGCAUUUUAUGACGUUAACAUGGAUUGUCAAUCUGAUCCGUCCGUCGAGUUUUCACCAACUUUCCGCCUCGUGACUGUGGCAGCUGAUGAUGAUAACGGCCCUGGACGCAUUAUUUUCCGUGUUCUGCAAAGGGACGCUUUUCUAGCUCAAUUAUCCUUCUGCAUUUAUGAGCUUAAUUCUUCUGUAAAGAAUUCCCUUAUUGACUAUGUAGUUACCUUGAAGGGUGGUUCUUACUGAGGAGGCAGGAUAAGUGCCUGGGUGCCUUAGCAACCCGCCAAAGGGAUCAAUGACGUUUAUUUGUUCGCAUUAUAAAAGGCUCAUGGAUUUUUAUAUAUUUGACUGGUUUUUAUCUUCCGUAAUCAUUAUUAAUCAUGAUGCUCAAACUGUCCCCACUUUGACCUGAGAGUUCCUUCCCAUGGCUUCCGGUGUUCUUUUGACCUGUUUCCGUUACACGUGAGAGCCUCCUGGCUUUUCAGGUACAAGAAGGCCCAAGGUCAUCUUUUACAUUUGCAGUCCUGGAUAUGGAAUCAGUAAUUUCUCAAGGGGUACGAUGCCUGUUAGUGAAACAUGAUACUUGGAGAACAGAAUGCGUCUGCUAGAAAAGAAGGGAUGCCUUC